RNAcentral lists this ribosomal RNA (465 nucleotides) under uncultured bacterium. RNAcentral's name for it is "partial 16S ribosomal RNA". It matches the Rfam family "Bacterial small subunit ribosomal RNA", at positions 29 to 507 of the family's 1533-position model. The record is from RNAcentral.
ACGAACGCUGGCGGCGUGCUUAACACAUGCAAGUCGAACGGAAAGGCCCUGCUUGCAGGGUACUCGAGUGGCGAACGGGUGAGUAACACGUGGGUGAUCUGCCCUGCACUUCGGGAUAAGCUUGGGAAACUGGGUCUAAUACCGGAUAGGAGCCAUCUUUAGUGUGGUGGUUGGAAAGUUUUUUCGGUGUAGGAUGAGCUCGCGGCCUAUCAGCUUGUUGGUGGGGUAAUGGCCUACCAAGGCGGCGACGGGUAGCCGGCCUGAGAGGGUGUACGGCCACAUUGGGACUGAGAUACGGCCCAGACUCCUACGGGAGGCAGCAGUGGGGAAUAUUGCACAAUGGGCGCAAGUCUGAUGCAGCGACGCCGCGUGGGGGAUGAAGGCCUUCGGGUUGUAAACUCCUUUCGCUAGGGACGAAGCUUUUUUGUGACGGUACCUAGAUAAGAAGCACCGGCUAACUACGUG